RNAcentral lists this unclassified non-coding RNA (505 nucleotides) under Homo sapiens (human). RNAcentral's name for it is "poly(A)-specific ribonuclease (ENSG00000274829.4)". The record is from RNAcentral. Lineage: Eukaryota; Metazoa; Chordata; Mammalia; Primates; Hominidae.
ACUCUUGGAUACUAAAUUGAUGGCCAGCACACAACCUUUUAAGGAUAUCAUUAACAACACAUCCCUUGCGGAAUUGGAAAAGCGGUUAAAAGAGACACCUUUCAACCCUCCUAAAGUUGAAAGUGCCGAAGGUUUUCCAAGUUAUGACACAGCCUCUGAACAACUCCACGAGGCAGGCUACGAUGCCUACAUCACAGGGCUGUGCUUCAUCUCCAUGGCCAAUUACCUAGGUUCUUUUCUCAGCCCUCCAAAAAUUCAUGUGUCUGCCAGAUCAAAACUCAUUGAACCUUUUUUUAACAAGGUUCCGCUGGAAAUCUAGGCCUUCCUGGAAUGACACUGCUUUAUGGUCUUUCUGAGCUACCGAUGAGACAAGGAAUGAUAUGCUCUUGGACAAAUGUUUUCUCCUCUGUAAAAUGGGGAUAAAAUGAUUCACCUUCUGUAUUGGUCCAUUUUCAUGCUGCUAAUAAAGACACAACUAAGACAGGGCAAUUUACAAAAUAAAGAG